Molecule: transfer RNA, 76 nt
Filed under: Promethearchaeota archaeon Loki_b32
Lineage: Archaea; Promethearchaeati; Promethearchaeota
Description: Candidatus Lokiarchaeota archaeon Loki_b32 tRNA-Tyr
Rfam family: tRNA
About the family: Transfer RNA (tRNA) molecules are approximately 80 nucleotides in length. Their secondary structure includes four short double-helical elements and three loops (D, anti-codon, and T loops).
Source: RNAcentral
GCCGGUGUGGCUUAGCUGGUUAUAAAGCAUUUGAGAUAAUUCUGGAGGUUCGAGGGCUCGAAUCCCUCCACCGGCA